Molecule: non-coding RNA, 456 nt
Organism: Phascolarctos cinereus (koala)
Lineage: Eukaryota; Metazoa; Chordata; Mammalia; Diprotodontia; Phascolarctidae
Source: RefSeq, a predicted model, not a curated record
UUUACUAAGUAGGAAGUGACAUGGAACUGCACUUCUGGAAAAUUACUUACACAGCUGGGUUAAGGUUGGAUUGGUGAGGGGAAGGACUUCGAAAAGGGAAACCAACGAAGAGGCUACAGCAAGUAUCCACUUAAAAUGAGCAAUUUUGAUUAUGCAGGCAGAAUUUCAUUUCAGAUGCCUUCCAUCUCUUGAAUAGUCUUCUUGUUAGGACCUUUGACCACUGAACCACAGGUGAGAGAAGAGGAGGUUACAACCUCAUCAUAGGGACUGGGUUGACCCCAAAAAAGAAAGGAAAAGAAAAGAUCACUAAUCUAUGUUUAAAUGCACAGAAAUGAUCAGAAGGAAGACCAGACGGAAACACAGGCAAAAAAGACAGGAAGCUACAUGCUGAAUUGAUUUAUAUACCUAAAAGGAAAGCUGUGUAUUACAGAGAUUCAGUUUUAUGUGUGAUCCCUC